GAAAUCUGGUAGCCUCAGGCUGCCCGAGUUGUAAUCUAUAGAAACGUUUUCCGCGUUGGCCCAUGUACAAGUCUCCUGGAAUGGAGCGUCAUAGAGGGUGAGAAUCCCGUCCUUGACAUGGACUACCAAUGCUUUGUGAUACGUUUUCAAAGAGUCGAGUUGUUUGGGAAUGCAGCUCAAAAUGGGUGGUAAAUUCCAUCUAAAGCUAAAUAUUGGCGAGAGACCGAUAGCGAACAAGUACCGUGAGGGAAAGAUGAAAAGCACUUUGGAAAGAGAGUUAAACAGUAUGUGAAAUUGUUGAAAGGGAAACGAUUGAAGUCAGUCAUGUCUAUUGGACUCAGCCGGUUCUGCCGGUGUACUUCCUUUAGAUGGGGUCAACAUCAGUUUUGAUCGCUGGAAAAGGGCAGGAGGAAUGUAGCACUCUCGGGUGAACUUAUAGCCUUCUGUCGUAUACAGUGGUUGGGACUGAGGAACGCAGCAUGCCUUUAUGGCCGGGGUUCGCCCACGUACAUGCUUAGGAUGUUGACAUAAUGGCUUUAAACGACC
Molecule: ribosomal RNA, 546 nt
Filed under: Solicoccozyma terrea
Lineage: Eukaryota; Fungi; Basidiomycota; Tremellomycetes; Filobasidiales; Piskurozymaceae
Description: partial large subunit ribosomal RNA
Rfam family: Eukaryotic large subunit ribosomal RNA
Source: RNAcentral